RNAcentral lists this long non-coding RNA (230 nucleotides) under Hordeum vulgare. RNAcentral describes it as "long non-coding RNA (HVUL_LNC015448)". Lineage: Eukaryota; Viridiplantae; Streptophyta; Magnoliopsida; Poales; Poaceae. The record is from RNAcentral.
CAACAACAAAGCCUUUCAGUCCCAAACAAGUUGGGGUAGGCUAGAGUUGAAACCCAUAAGAUCUCGAAACCAAGUCAUGGCUCUGGAACGUGGAUAGCUAACUUCCACGCACCCCUGUCCAUGGCUAAGUAUUUGUCGAUAUUCCAAACCUUCAGGUCUCUCUUAACGGACUCCUCCCAUGUCAAGUUUGGUCUACCACGACCCCUCUUAACAUUCUCAGCACGCUUUAU